Loxodonta africana (African savanna elephant) is the source of this 972-nucleotide long non-coding RNA. RefSeq lists it as uncharacterized. Lineage: Eukaryota; Metazoa; Chordata; Mammalia; Proboscidea; Elephantidae. The transcript has 3 exons. The record is from RefSeq and is a predicted model, not a curated record.
GACUGUGUGGAUCAUAACAAAUUAUGGAUAACAUUGCAAAGAAUAGGAAUUCCAGAACACUUAAUUGUGUUCAUGAAGAACCUGUAUAUAGCCCAAGAGGCAAUCAUUUGGAAAAAAACAAGGGGAUACUGCCUGGUUUAAAGUCAGGAAAGGUGCACGUCAAGGCUAUAUCUUUUCACCAUACUUAUUCAAUCUGUAUGCCGAGCAAGUAAUCUGAGAAGCUGGACUACAUGAAGAAGAACGUGGAUCUGACUUGCUGAUGCUGUUAAACACAAGAUAUGAACCCUCCUCUACCCAGCGGAGAUCUGAUAUCCUGACUCCGGUUAGUCUCAGAGUGAAGAGCGGGACCUCAUCGAUGUCAAAAAGGUCACAUUGGUAGCUGAAACAUCUAAAAAUUGAAGCUUGACAAGUGGAUGAAAGCAGCCCAGAGACUAAAUGGACUGAUUGAUGUCACUCAUGGUACAGGAAAAUCUUGAAGAACUGCAUCAUGGAUGUAUGUAAUGUUAAGAACUCAUAUGUGUACAUAAACCCUUUAAUUCCAAAGAAGUGAUGCUAAGGCUAAGCCUUUAGGAACUUUGAGCUUAUUUUUUCUCUCCAUGUCUCAUUUGGUAAAUCUCUUGCUACUCUAAUAUGAGGACUAAUUUCUUCCCCUAGGAUAAAGCAUUAAUUAAAUGACUUAGGAAACUGUUUUUAUCAAAGAAUAGAGGCUCUGAUCUCAGUUUUUGCUCCAUUAACUUUAAAGUUCAAUACAUUUUUAUUGAACCCACACACACUUUAAAUAUGAAUUGCUUUUCACUAAUUGGUCUAUAGGGACCACAGUGACUGUUUUGGUCUUCUUCUUUGGCUUUUUUUUGCUUUUCCUUAAAAAAAAAGUUCCUAAACUUUAUUAAUAUUCAUUAAAUCAAGAAAUGAUUGCUGGAAUCAAGGAAUAAAAAUCAAUGGAGAGAGAUGACAAGUUCUGGUUUGAUCUCU